UGGACAGAUUAUUAUAUUCGACUGUAUUCACGGCGUGAAACGGGGGAUUACACUGUUUUUAAACGGAAAGUGAAUCAAUUAACAUAAUAGACUCCU
This is a non-coding RNA of Nicotiana sylvestris (wood tobacco), 96 nucleotides long. Lineage: Eukaryota; Viridiplantae; Streptophyta; Magnoliopsida; Solanales; Solanaceae. The record is from Rfam.